RNAcentral lists this small nuclear RNA (20 nucleotides) under Arabidopsis thaliana (thale cress). RNAcentral describes it as "snRNA_10881". The record is from RNAcentral. Lineage: Eukaryota; Viridiplantae; Streptophyta; Magnoliopsida; Brassicales; Brassicaceae.
UCUAUUUAUAUGAUAAGCCA